CCUGCCCAGUGACAUAUUUCAACGGCCGCGGUAUCCUAACCGUGCAAAGGUAGCAUAAUCACUUGCCCAUUAAUUGUGGGCUAGAAUGAAUGGACUAACGAAAUAAAAGCUGUCUCUAUAAGAAUCUUAUAAAUUAAUCUCUAACUGAAGAGUGUUAGAUUAUAUCGAAGGACAAGAAGACCCUAUAGAGCUUUAUUUUAACAAAGAUAAAUACUUUGAAUAAAAUUCGGUUGGGGCGACCGGGGAUAUUUAUAAACACCCCCAAUAAAAAGACUAAUAAGUCGAAAUAAAGACCCUUAACAAAGAUCAUAAAAACAAGCUACCUUAGGGAUAACAGGCUAAUCCCACUAGAAAGUUCUUAUUUAUAGUGGGGUUUGGCACCUCGAUGUUGGCUUAGGGAAACUAUGUGGCGCAAAAGUCACAUAAAGAUGGUUUGUUCAACCAAUAAAUCCCUACAUGAGCUGAGUUCAGACCGGCGUAAGCCAGGUUAGUUUCCAUCCUCGAUCAAAAUUCUAUCUAUAGUACGAAAGGACCUAGAUAAGAAUAAUAAUUAUAAAAUCAUGAAUAAAUUUAAUAAAAAUUUAGUAACCUAACAUCAUACACUA
Molecule: ribosomal RNA, 605 nt
Filed under: Zophoscolex ibericus
Lineage: Eukaryota; Metazoa; Annelida; Clitellata; Crassiclitellata; Lumbricidae
Description: partial large subunit ribosomal RNA
Rfam family: Bacterial large subunit ribosomal RNA
Source: RNAcentral